This is a long non-coding RNA of Glycine soja, 1637 nucleotides long. RefSeq lists it as uncharacterized. The transcript has 2 exons. The record is from RefSeq and is a predicted model, not a curated record. Lineage: Eukaryota; Viridiplantae; Streptophyta; Magnoliopsida; Fabales; Fabaceae.
UCUUCUUAUGCUCCAGACAGGCUCAAAACAUAUCAUAUUGGUUCUUCAUGUUGAUAAACUACCACUUCCCUGAUGACUAAAAAAGUAAAACAAAUUUCUACUGUACUGUGGAGUGGUUAUGUAGAUCUGUUUCACCCUCCACAUAACAAAAAUAGGGCAAGAAGAGCAUCCAUGAUAUAGUAUAGUCCCUGCAACACAUGACUUAAUAUAGAACCAAGCCAAAGUUUGGAAAUCUUUACAAGUCGAGACAAUGCCUAUUGUACAAAAUGUCUCCACUAAUCUAUGUCAGUCUCCUACAGGGUGAGAUUUACAGUCCAUUCAAGCAAGAAGUUAUAUGUUGGAAGACAUCUUCGCUGCAAGGAAUUGUGAGGCCACCCAUGGGAUGAUCAUAUCCAAACUCUUCCUCAGCUUGACUCAACAAUUCUUGGAAUGAAGGUUGAUUCAAGUAUGAUACAGGGAUCACAAAGCGCUUCAUUUUAUCUCCAACAUAGGCUGCAAGAUAUCCCUUUGGCACGUCCACUGUUUUUGAAGAUACUUGAUUUGCAGCAAAUAAUGCCCUUCUGAUACUAGGUAAAUGAAAACCCAUUGUUAUAUUGAUUGCGUUAGAGACUGGAGAAGAGAAUUGUCUAAGAAAAGACUUUAAAAUAAACUUUUGAAUUUUGAAUGCUUCAGGAUGUGAAUGAUUUGUGUUGGUCCUAACUUCUUGCAGCCAUAAGUAUAUAUAGAUAUGUAAGAAACCAUAGGCUAGUUGAAUUAUUGGUGAAGGAGGGCUAUGAGAUAUGGGACCAAAUGAGAGACAAGGCAUAUGGUGUUGUCUUAGAGGACUUUCUCAUGAUUCAACAAUACAUGUUAUAGUAGAAAAUACAAGUCCCACCUUCUGGAACAGAUUACCCCACUUGAAAUGAAACAGCUGCUUCUAUGAAAAAAGAAAAUCUAAUUGAUCAUGUUAACACUUAUCUGUGGUGGCAGGUAGGAGCCACAAACUUCAUUUAUGUAAAUUUCACGCUGUGUUUCUUAGAAUUUGAUGUACAGAAAACAAAUGUAGUUCAUAAUGCCUUGUGAUCAUGUAUUCAAUGUUGGUUCUCUUCUUAUCUCCAAAGACGGUUUCAGAGCUACCAAUCAGCUCGGCUCAGCUCAAGCCUCAAUGUUUACAGAUUGCUUAUUGUCACUUAGAUAUUAGUUGGUACAUGGUAGAUAUAUAUCUAUCUAUAUUAUUAUCAUCUUCUUUAAAGAAACAUGUGAAAUGUCUAAAGCAUGUCUAUCAUUGAAAAUACUAUAGCUCAAUAUUAGAUUUCACCAUUGCUGAUGUAUUUAUGUUCAAGUGGGUAAAUCUGUUCGCCAUUAUCUCAGAAGGUGGGGUAUGGUAUGCACUCCCAUUUAUCUUCCUAAUCCUUGAAAGCAACCUCUUAAGACAACACCAUGUGAUUAUGUGAUCCCUUGCCCCUAAAAAACACUCAUGGUGGAAUUGGAUUGCUGUUGCAGAGGGCCCAUUAGUGACUAUAUAUACACUAUUUCUAGUGUUCUCAAGCAACACAAGUCAUUUGCAUCCUGAAGCAUCAGGGUUCAAAUAUUUCUUUCCCAUACAAGUCUUUUGGCAUCACUUGGCAUAUUACUUGUUUGUGGAGCCAAAAAAAAAA